AUGAACGCUGGCGGUGUGCCUCACACAUGCAAGUCGAACGAGGUAGCAAUAUCUAGUGGCGGACGGGUGAGUAACGCGUGGGAAUCUGCCUUUAGGUGGGGGAUAACUGACCGAAAGGUUAGCUAAUACCGCAUAUGCGUAUGUCUCGACAGAGAUGUACGUAAAAGGAGCAAUUUGCCUGAAGAUGAGCCCGCGUCCGAUUAGCUAGUUGGUAGGGUAAAAGCCUACCAAGGCUCCGAUCGGUAGCUGGUCUGAGAGGAUGAUCAGCCACAAUGGGACUGAGACACGGCCCAUACUCCUACGGGAGGCAGCAGUGGGGAAUUUUACGCAAUGGGGGAAGCCCUGACGUAGCGACACCGCGUGAGUGAAGAAGCCCUUUGGGGUGUAAAGCUCUGUCGGCAGGAACGAAAAAAAUGACGGUACCUGCAAAGGAAGCAUCGGCUAACUACGU
Molecule: ribosomal RNA, 451 nt
Filed under: uncultured bacterium
Lineage: Bacteria
Description: bacterial SSU rRNA
Rfam family: Bacterial small subunit ribosomal RNA
Source: RNAcentral